CCUACGGGUGGCUGCAGUCGAGAAUCUUCGGCAAUGGGCGCAAGCCUGACCGAGCGACGCCGCGUGCGGGAUGAAGGCCCUCGGGUUGUAAACCGCUGUCAGGGGGGAUGAAGUGCAUGGGGGUUCUCCCCCAUGCUUGACAGAGCCCCAGAGGAAGCACGGGCUAAGUUCGUGCCAGCAGCCGCGGUAAUACGAACUGUGCGAACGUUAUUCGGAAUCACUGGGCUUACAGGGUGCGUAGGCGGCUUGUUAAGCAGGGUGUGAAAUCCUCCGGCUCAACCGGAGAACAGCGCUCUGGACUGGCAGGCUUGAGUGUGCUAGGGGUGUGUGGAACUUCCAGUGGAGCGGUGAAAUGUGUUGAUAUUGGAAGGAACACCGGUGGCGAAAGCGACACACUGGGGCAUAACUGACGCUGAGGCACGAAAGCCAGGGGAGCGAAC
RNAcentral lists this ribosomal RNA (440 nucleotides) under uncultured bacterium. RNAcentral's name for it is "bacterial SSU rRNA". It matches the Rfam family "Bacterial small subunit ribosomal RNA", at positions 338 to 773 of the family's 1533-position model. The record is from RNAcentral.